Vicia villosa (hairy vetch) is the source of this 1795-nucleotide long non-coding RNA. RefSeq lists it as uncharacterized. Lineage: Eukaryota; Viridiplantae; Streptophyta; Magnoliopsida; Fabales; Fabaceae. The record is from RefSeq and is a predicted model, not a curated record. The transcript is spliced from 2 exons.
GCGAUUAAUCUUCACUUAAUAUCACACUAAUCUCAAUUAAUUCAAUUAAUCAAAGCAAGAGAUAAAAGGGGAAUUAGGUCAAGGGAAUUGUGACCUUUGAGCUUUCUUCAUUCAAAAGAUCUCACUCUUUCUUCUUCACCGAGAAACGGCGACGGCAACCUCCCUUGCUCCGGCGCGAUUCGCGACACACCACUCUCCUGUCUCCACUUCAAAUCGAUCAUCUCUCAACAAUGACCUCUCCGAAUCAAGCUCGUUCUCAUCUCAGAUUACCUCUCGUCUCGAUCGGAGUUUCUUCACGGUGGCGGAGAAUUUCGAAGAGGAGAUUCAGCGUUGUGAGGGUGAUGACACGAUGAAGACGCGUUGAUAGAGUCAAAAACCUUGAGGAUUGCAGAACCACGAACAAACGGAGAAGAUUGAAGAUCAUGAAGAGAUUUUCUGUUGCAAAGAUUGAAGAAUUUCUGCCAAAUCUUUGAAGGUUGGAGAUUUUUUUAAAGUUGAAGAGCGAAUUCGAGAGAGAUAUUGAAGAUUUUCAGAGUUAAAGAACUCGGUUCUCUUGUGAUAGUUUCUGUUCGAGUUUUUUGUUACUCUUUUUCAGUGAUGAAGAAUGGUAGAGAUUGUAGAAUCGUGGAGGUUAGUGGAUGAAGAUGAUGAGGAAUGGUGUGAAGAUGAUGAAGAGUGGGUGAUGGUGUGCGAAGAUGAAUGAGGGUGAAAUGGCGUGUCGAACCUUGAAUCAUGGAGGGAGAUUCUGUUAUAUAGUAUCAGGGAGAAUCAGAAUUGAUUGAAAGGUUAGUUACUUCUCUCCUCUUCCUGAUUUUUCUCUCUUAUGCAUAUGGAGGUUUCUCUUAGGCUUAUAACUGAAUCGGUUAGUGAGGUAAUUCUAUUACAAAUCGGUUAGAUGGAAAAUAUUAGUUACAAAAUGAUAGGUUAGUUAGUUAGGGAUCGUACUAGGUUGUUAGAGGUGGUUUAUGAACUCUGUUGGUUGAUUGGGUUAUUGCAGUUCGUAACAGUUAGGGAGUUUUUAUUAUGAAGUUAGUUGCAGUUUGGAUGGUUAUUGAGAAUUGGUUAGGAAAGUUGGUUAGAACUGUUAUGUGAAAUGUUAGUUAUGCUAAAAGUGUGGUCUCUUAUUUCUCUUUAGAAUGUAUGGCUGUACCGGUUUUAUUUAGUGUGAUAUGCAGGUAAUUUGGUUUUUUUUUCUAGUUUGAAAUUGUAUGACUUGCUGAACCGGUUUUGCAGGAUUUCAGUGGUGAUGUUGGUUUUGUUAUGUGGAUGCAGGGCUGACUUUGGCUUGGAUUUCAGUGGUGAUGUUGGUUUUGUUAUGUGGAUGCAGGGCUGAUUUGUGAAAUGCAGGUUCAGGAUUAUCGAUAAGCUUCGGCAUGGUAUUAUAUGUGGCAGAUGCAGGUAGCAGCAGGCUAUGGUUCCAAUUUGGUAGAAUGUAAACCGGUUUUUUUAACGGGAUGUGGAUGUAUGUUUGUUAUGCAUUUGAGUGUGAUCGGAAGAGAUUAGUUAAUGACUGUUAGCAUGAAGGUAUGGGGAGUUUGUGUACUGAGUUUAUGAUUGGUUAUGCUGUUUUUCAACAUGCAGGCAGCAGGUUGGCUCAAUGAACGGGAACAGAAGGUGGGCUUAUGGUCAUAAAGCUUGAAGAUCGAAAUAGCAAAAUCGGAAGUGUGUCUAGAAUAGGAUUUGGAUUUUUCUUUGUAGUUUUUGAUGUGAAUGUCUCAGUGUAAUAACAUGGAAUUGAUUUUGUGUAAUUGUGGAUGAACUUUGGAUGUCGUAAUGAUAAUGGGAAUUGAAAGAA